Molecule: ribosomal RNA, 449 nt
Filed under: uncultured microorganism
Description: bacterial SSU rRNA
Rfam family: Archaeal small subunit ribosomal RNA
Source: RNAcentral
GCGCACCAGUCGAGAAACUCCGCAAUGCUCGAAAGAGUGACGGGGGAUUCCAAGUGCCUACGCUUAGCGUAGGCUGUUCAGAUGCCUAAAAGCAUCUGGAGUAAGGGCUGGGUAAGACGGGUGCCAUCUGCAGUGGUAAUGAAAAACUUGCUACUGCAAGGCAUAAGCCGCCGCGGUAAUACCCGCAGCCCGAGUGGUAGUCGCUUUUAUUGGGCCUAAAGCGUCCGUAGCCGGUCUGGUAAAUGCCUGGGGUAAAUCGUGGGGCCUAACCUCACGAAUUCCGGGUAGACUGCCAGACUUGGGACCGGUUGAGGGAGAGGGUACUCCAGGGGCAGGGGUGAAAUCCUGUAAUCCUUGGAGGACCACCGGUGGCGAAAGCGCUCUCCUAGGACGGUCGACGGUGAGGGACGAAAGCCAGGGGAGCAAACCGGAUUAGAUACCCGCGUAGU